CCUACGGGCGGCAGCAGUGAGGAAUAUUGGUCAAUGGACGAGAGUCUGAACCAGCCAAGUAGCGUGAAGGAUGACUGCCCUAUGGGUUGUAAACUUCUUUUAUAUGGGAAUAAAAUGUUCCACGUGUGGGAUUUUGUAUGUACCAUAUGAAUAAGGAUCGGCUAACUCCGUGCCAGCAGCCGCGGUAAUACGGAGGAUCCGAGCGUUAUCCGGAUUUAUUGGGUUUAAAGGGAGCGUAGGUGGAUUGUUAAGUCAGUUGUGAAAGUUUGCGGCUCAACCGUAAAAUUGCAGUUGACCCUGGCAGUCUUGAGUACAGUAGAGGUGGGCGGAAUGCGUGGUGUAGCGGUGAAAUGCUUAGAUAUCACGAAGAACUCCGAUUGCGAAGGCAGUUCACUGGACUGCAACUGACACUGAGGCUCGAAAGUGUGGGUAUCAAACAGGAUUAGAUACCCGAGUAGUC
This 460-nucleotide ribosomal RNA is filed under the name uncultured bacterium. RNAcentral's name for it is "partial 16S ribosomal RNA". It matches the Rfam family "Bacterial small subunit ribosomal RNA", at positions 338 to 795 of the family's 1533-position model. The record is from RNAcentral.